UGCUUGAGCAGAUGCCAUUAUUCACAGAGAUAGUCUCGGUAAAAAUUUCAUUUUAAAGUCGGAUUUCGGGUUUGAGAAACCGUUUUUACACUUCCGUGGUAAAUUAUAUUUUGUUAAAUGUAACAAACUGUAACGUUAACUUAGUUGCUGUCUUCCUUGUUUGCCAAAUGAAUGUCAGAGCCGUCGCAUUUGACAUUUUCAGCAUCUCACUCGACGUGGAGAGAUCGGACUAGGUGAAGAUCUGACAUCACGGAAUUAUUCAAGGAUAACGCAACUUUUCUGCCAAACGAGGUCGUAAUUGCUGCUGUAUUGUGCAUCCCAAGUACCCCCUACAUUCUUAUCAAUGAUUGCUGUCAUUCAAGAACUUAUCAUGUCCUCCCCCAUUGUGGCUGAGCUACACAUUCUCUUCAUUUUAUUUUAAACAUAAAACAUCGAGGAGAUGGCACCUACGUUGGAAUUCAUACAAAUUCUUCCGGUGAAGAAAUCCUGAACGAGGGUCGACGGUUCAGAUGAAGGGAACCUAUGCUUCCAAGACUCAUGUAUGAACAACUUCGAGAAUCCAUGUACAAUUUGAACUUUUUUCAAAUCUCAACAUGGAACUUGGACUGAACAUGCAGCAAAAGGAAAAAAAAAUAAAAAUAGUAGUUUCCCCAAGUUGGCACAUGGCAAGAGAUACUAAAAGCACACAAACACUUGGAGCCCCGCUCUUAAUUUAGAUUGUAUAGUUCUCUUAGUUUCACAUUGAAAUGUUAGGCAUGAGUGCAUGAAUCUUUGUUCUUUAUUUUCAAAUGAUGUACAAGAAAGUGUUUUUUUUGUUUGUUUUUUUGCAGUACCAUGUCAAUUGUAGAUGACAGAAUUCACAUUUUUGAUGUGAACUGUCCUUUUAAAUAACAUUUCACUUGACUAUUGACUAGAAGUCUGUAGCAAUCGUUAUUAAUGACAGCCCUGUCUUUGUGUUAAUUUUUUCCCAUGUAUUUGAAAAUGUUUUGAAUCUUGACUGUUUCACAGUGAAGUUUAUCUUUGCGACCACUAUUUGGUGCAACACCAAUAUUGUACAAGUAGCUGCUCAUUUUUCUUUUUUCUGCCUGGUGCCGUUUAAAACGAAAACACAUUGUUAAAUUAAUUGAUGUAAUAAUAUUUUUGUCUUCACCUGUUAAAGGCAAAUAAAAACUACU
This is a long non-coding RNA of Onychostoma macrolepis, 1175 nucleotides long. RefSeq lists it as uncharacterized. The record is from RefSeq and is a predicted model, not a curated record. The transcript is spliced from 5 exons. Lineage: Eukaryota; Metazoa; Chordata; Actinopteri; Cypriniformes; Cyprinidae.